ACCGGCGGCUCGAGUGGUGGCCACUAUUACUGGGCUUAAAGCGUUCGUAGCUGGCUUGGUAAGUCUCUGGGGAAAUCUUCCGGCUCAACCGGAAGGCGGCUCAGGGAUACUGGGAGGCUAGGGGGCGGGAGAGGUGAGCGGAAUUCCGGGUGUAGGAGUGAAAUCCGGUGAUACGAGGGGGAACACCAGUGGCGAAGGCGGCCAACUGGACGAGCACUGACGGUGAGGAGCGAAAGCGGGGGGAGCAAACAG
RNAcentral lists this ribosomal RNA (252 nucleotides) under uncultured prokaryote. Its description in RNAcentral is "partial 16S rRNA". It matches the Rfam family "Archaeal small subunit ribosomal RNA", at positions 475 to 726 of the family's 1478-position model. The record is from RNAcentral.